RNAcentral lists this long non-coding RNA (1323 nucleotides) under Zonotrichia albicollis (white-throated sparrow). RNAcentral's name for it is "lncRNA (ENSZALG00000013988.1)". The record is from RNAcentral. Lineage: Eukaryota; Metazoa; Chordata; Aves; Passeriformes; Passerellidae.
UGUAAACGGAAAACACACCCAAGCGCUGGGCUGGGUGACGGUGAGUUCUGCCAGCGGCGACCGGGCUCCGCCGUGCUGCCUGGGCCGGCGCGGGGUGCCUGGGGCAGGGCCGGGACCACACCGGGGGGCAGCGCCGGGGUCCCCUGCCAGGAGACGGGACGGGCAGAGAAAAGCCGGGGGGCGGGGCGGCCUCGCCGCGGUGACUCAGCGGCGCGGAGCACCGGGCUGCGACCGGUAUUUCCUGUUCCCCUGCCGCCGCCGCGGUGUCGGUGUGUGCGGGCGUGGGCCGGGGCAGCCGGGCGAAGGCACCCCUGGACUGGAGGGGCGGCAGCCGCAGGUGGGGGCGCGCCUAAAGAGGGGGCGCGCCGCCCGCCCCGUCCGGCCGCCACCGCCCCUCCCCUGCCGUGCCCUGCCCUGCCCUCCCCAUCCUUCCCCUCUCCUCCCCACCUGGGGGCGAGGCCGGCACCUGCAGCGGGAGCCCGCCCCGGCGUGGCCGCACCGCCCCCGCCCGCGCCCCGCAGGAAAUCGCCCGACUCGGCGGGAGCGGCCACAGCGGACCCGGACCCAGCUUCAGACUCGUCUCCAGUCCCAGCCUCGGCCCUGCACUCGGAUUCGACGCCCUCAGUCGCUGCCCGCUCCCGGGCGACAGGGCAGGGCAAGGCGCAGUCCCAGCGCCGGGGCGCCUCUGGGACCUCUGCUCCCGCUGCCGGACGCCCUCCGCGAGCAGGCGAGUAUCCCCGCGGGAUGUCCCCGCCCCGAACCCGCGCUCAUCGCCGCUUCCCUCCCCCCGGGCAGGUGCGGUGCCCCCCGGCACCCCCUGUUCUCCGCGGCCGGUGCCUCCUCUCCCCGCCCCGGGGGCCGCGCUGCGGCCACGAGCUGCCCGGCUUCUCAUUCUCGUUCCUUUGUGUGCUUUGGCUUUUAUCGCCCUGUUGCCUGCGCUCCUCAGGCGCGCCUUGCCGCCUUUGUCCGCGCACUCGGACCCGCCGCGCCCCCGCGGGGCCCCCAGGCCGGUCCCGCGCCCGUCGCGCACCUGGGCGGCGCGAACAGCCGCGCUCGGCCGGGGAUCGGCUUUUCUCUAACGGGAUUAAGCGGCUCUCGAUGACUUUUUCCGUGAUAAGUACUUUCCGGGAGAGCGCGAUACUACGCGGAAAGUGGGAGAGAUGUCACCAGCGAGUCGGGGUGUUUGUUUACCCGGGCUACUCCCGGGGGGGCCGCUGGCGGGGCGGAUCCCCCGGGCAGCUCACGCCCCCGCUGUCGGGGGUUUGGGCUGCCUUUGUUGCGCAGAGAAUUCCUGAAAUCUUUAUGUUGGCACAUCCCGAGUGA